RNAcentral lists this ribosomal RNA (253 nucleotides) under uncultured bacterium. RNAcentral's name for it is "partial 16S ribosomal RNA". It matches the Rfam family "Bacterial small subunit ribosomal RNA", at positions 524 to 776 of the family's 1533-position model. The record is from RNAcentral.
UACGUAGGGUGCAAGCGUUGUCCGGAAUUAUUGGGCGUAAAGAGCUCGUAGGCGGUCUGUCGCGUCCGUUGUGAAAACUCGAGGCUCAACCUCGGGCUUGCAGUGGAUACGGGCAGACUAGAGUGUGGUAGGGGAGACUGGAAUUCCUGGUGUAGCGGUGAAAUGCGCAGAUAUCAGGAGGAACACCGGCGGCGAAGGCGGCUGCCUGGACCGGCCCUGACGCUGAGGCGCGAAAGCUAGGGGAGCAAACAGG